GUCCAUUGCGAGGAAUGCCCGGACACCCAAGAAAUGAAGCCAGCUAAAGCCAAUUCGGCCGAAAGCAGCG
RNAcentral lists this non-coding RNA (70 nucleotides) under Ctenophora environmental sample. Lineage: Eukaryota; Metazoa; Ctenophora. The record is from RNAcentral.